CAGGGACCCCUGGGUGGCUCAGCAGUUUAGCGCCUGCCUUAAGCCCAGGGUUUGAUCCUGGAGUCCCGGGAUUGAGUCCCAUGUCGGGCUCCCUGCAUGGAGCCUGCUUCUCCCUCUGCCUGUGUCUCUGCCUUUCUCUCUCUCUCUCUCUCUCUCUCAUGAAUAAAUAAAUAUAAUCUUUAAAAAAAAUAAUCAAAAGUCAAAGGCUUAACAGACUGAGCCAUCCAGGUGCCCCUACUUUUAUCUUUAUCUGUUACCAUUCCUACUUACUUACUUACUUACUUACUUAUUUAUUUAUUUGUUUGUUUGUUUAUUUAUUUAUUGUUCCUACUUUUUUAGAGAUAUACGUGUAUUUCUUUUACCAAGCUUCUUGAAUUGAAAUACUAUUUGUUUUCAGUCUUGUAUCAGGUAAACUUCUAGCAGGAAACAGUGUUGAUUGAAGACAGGUGAAUAAAGGAACAACUUAUAAAGUGUGGGUACUUCUAUCUUCUCUAGACUAAGAAGGAAGAGCUACAGUGACCCCACAGUGGGAGUCUGGAGGAGUAGACACCUGAUCUUAUGCAUUUCUCUGACAUCCACCCCUGCUGAAGACUCCAGAAGGUUGUACUUCAUGCAGAGUAGUAGAAGAAAAGAGGACAGUACCUCAUCGCUAAAAGCAUCCUGUAAGUGGAAAAGCUAUUAAUACUCUCAUGAGUUCUUGUAGUUGAAGUUUUAAAACAGAAGAAUUUGAAUUUUCUGUCUUCCA
Molecule: long non-coding RNA, 745 nt
Filed under: Canis lupus familiaris (dog)
Lineage: Eukaryota; Metazoa; Chordata; Mammalia; Carnivora; Canidae
Description: lncRNA (ENSCAFG00040023265.1)
Source: RNAcentral